UUCAGCCGAGGAGGUGAGAUGAGAUAUGAAUGUCCACCAGGUCGGUCUAGCGCGGAAAAACCACACUUACCAAUCCUAGAUGGACGGAACUUGAAACCCCUGUUUCGGUAUAGCGCGGGAAAACCACACUGACCAAGACAGAGGUUUAUACUUAAAUAAUAAAACGGAUAGGUAUAGCGCGGAAAAACCACACUGACCCAAUUAAACUGUAUGCGAGUUUGAGGAGAGAUUACACAACCACACUGGAAAGCGGACAGCUGCUGAAAAAAACAACAGUAAGCAAAAAGAUAAGAACAAAACAAAAUAACAAGAACACACUUGUAAAUGGUCUACCUUGUAAAAAAAAAACAGUUAACCCGUCAGAUUAUAAAACUAUAGAAUAUAUAGUCAAAAAUUAAA
Molecule: long non-coding RNA, 399 nt
Filed under: Mytilus galloprovincialis (Mediterranean mussel)
Lineage: Eukaryota; Metazoa; Mollusca; Bivalvia; Mytilida; Mytilidae
Source: RNAcentral